CACGGAGUUAGCCGAUCCUUAUUCUUACGGUACCGUCAAGCUCCUACACGUAGGAGUGUUUCUUCCCGUACAAAAGCAGUUUACAAUCCAUAGGACCGUCAUCCUGCACGCGGCAUGGCUGGUUCAGGCUUGCGCCCAUUGACCAAUAUUCCUCA
RNAcentral lists this ribosomal RNA (155 nucleotides) under uncultured bacterium. RNAcentral describes it as "partial 16S ribosomal RNA". The record is from RNAcentral.